Molecule: RNA transcript, 3980 nt
Organism: Rhinopithecus roxellana (golden snub-nosed monkey)
Lineage: Eukaryota; Metazoa; Chordata; Mammalia; Primates; Cercopithecidae
Gene: UCHL5
Gene name: ubiquitin C-terminal hydrolase L5
Exons: 14
Source: RefSeq, a predicted model, not a curated record
AGGCCCUCUCGACGUCGGCCUGCGGGGAGCGAUGCCGACAAGUAGGAGCGGUCCGGCUUCGGAAAGGGCCCACCCUCAGGAAUGGUCCGGCCAGGCCUAGCGAGGAUGUCCCUACCGCGAUGCUGGUUCCGUUUCCCAGGGUGGGCAGGCGCGGAAGCGAGGCGGGGAAGAGCGAUAGUUUCGCGGCGUUUGCCCAGCCUCAGCCCCUGGGAUGCGGGUGAGAGACAUGGAGGACUGGUCAGACUUUGCGCUUCCCUGGGGCCGCUCACACAGCACAAAAGGCUCCCAGCCGGCUUCCCGCAAUGUCCUCACCUGUGCCUGGCAGCCGACCCCCCCCACCUGGACCCGCAGCGCCGCCAGGAGAAGUCCUGCGCAGCGCUGGGAAACGACAAGAGACGGCAGACCGAUAGGCAGCGACAGCGACAGCAACCGCCCCACUGCCGCCGGGGAAUUCCAGGCCCCAGCCCUUCCGAAUCCGCUACGGGUGCUGCAAGGCCUGGGAAGAGUUUCGAUGUCUCUAGGGUGGCUAGAGCGUCCUCGCGCGCUCCGUCGCGCUGCAGGUGACGGCGCCCGGAGGCUGUCGGGAAGUAGGCGGGGUGACGUGUGGUGGACGAGCUCGGCGGCGGGUUUGCUGAGAUCUGUGGCUGGCCGCAGCUGGUGCGGGGGGCGGCCAAGAGCGAGAGGUGGAUCGGGGCGGUGUGUGGCCGGGGCCAUGACGGGCAAUGCUGGGGAGUGGUGCCUCAUGGAAAGCGACCCCGGGGUCUUCACCGAGCUCAUUAAAGGAUUCGGUUGCCGAGGAGCCCAAGUAGAAGAAAUAUGGAGUUUAGAGCCUGAGAAUUUUGAAAAAUUAAAGCCAGUUCAUGGGUUAAUUUUUCUUUUCAAGUGGCAGCCAGGAGAAGAACCAGCAGGCUCUGUGGUUCAGGACUCCCGACUUGACACGAUAUUUUUUGCUAAGCAGGUAAUUAAUAAUGCUUGUGCUACUCAAGCCAUAGUGAGUGUUUUACUGAACUGUACCCACCAGGAUGUCCAUUUAGGCGAGACAUUAUCGGAGUUUAAAGAAUUUUCACAAAGUUUUGAUGCAGCUAUGAAAGGCUUGGCACUGAGCAAUUCAGAUGUGAUUCGACAAGUACACAACAGUUUCGCCAGACAGCAAAUGUUUGAAUUUGAUACGAAGACAUCAGCAAAAGAAGAAGAUGCUUUUCAUUUUGUCAGUUAUGUUCCUGUUAAUGGAAGACUGUAUGAAUUAGAUGGAUUAAGAGAAGGACCGAUUGAUUUAGGUGCAUGCAAUCAAGAUGAUUGGAUCAGUGCAGUAAGGCCUGUCAUAGAAAAAAGGAUACAAAAAGACGGGUUUUCACCAUGUUGCCCAGGCUGGUCUCAGACUCCUGAGCUCAAGCCAUCCGCAUGCCUCGACCUCCCAAAGUGGUACAGUGAAGGUGAAAUUCGAUUUAAUUUAAUGGCCAUUGUGUCUGACAGAAAAAUGAUAUAUGAACAGAAGAUAGCAGAGUUACAAAGACAACUUGCAGAGGAGGAACCCAUGGAUACAGAUCAAGGUAAUAGUAUGUUAAGUGCUAUUCAGUCAGAAGUUGCCAAAAAUCAGAUGCUUAUUGAAGAAGAAGUACAGAAAUUAAAAAGAUACAAGAUUGAGAAUAUCAGAAGGAAGCAUAAUUAUCUGCCUUUCAUUAUGGAAUUGUUAAAGACUUUAGCAGAACACCAGCAGUUAAUACCACUAGUAGAAAAGUUUGAGAAACACUGAGAAGACACUACUAGGCAAAUAAAAUUUUGGACCAUUAACUUAAAGACGAGCAUACAUGGCAAAAGAAAAACAGAACGCAAAGAAAGCUCAGGAAACCAAAUGAAGAGGAUGUUUUGGGAUGUGUACACAUUUCUGCUUCUGCACAUAUUUUCAUGGAAAUCAUUAUGUAUAAAGAACUUUGAGCAACAUCCUAAUUGGCUCAGUGCACGUUUGGCGGUAGUGCCAGCCUGUCUUGUCUUUAAUGCAUGGAUUCAUAAACUUCUUCCCUACCUGCAUCAUGUGCAUGUAGUGCAUAUUAAAUGAAAGCGAUAUUAAGAGUGCUUGCCCAAAUUCCAUUAUUUGACAUUGAAUCUGAGAACUCUUAGUUUUCUGGAUGUGUAACUACCAUAUGAACCUAGAAAAUUCACAAAUGAUACUCCUUAUCUGUAAUUUAAAUCCUUAAAAUUUGCAAUUGUCAGAUCUUAAUGAAACUGGAUGUCUUAUUUCUUCUCAUCAUUAAUGGAAAAAAAAUCAGUAUUUCUAUCUUUGAUAUCUGAGUGUUUUGAGGAUUUUAAAACUGAAUUUUAUCUGCUAUACCAGUUAUUUGAAAAAGUAUGAUUUAAAUGUAAAUCAUUUAAAAGGGACAAAAGUAUAAUUUCCAGUGAUUUUCACUGCUGUCAGUAGAAAAGUAAUAAACAUCUCAAUUUUAUUUUAGUAAUUUUUCUUCAAGUGUUUGGGGUUAUUUGCUUAUGUAGUAGAGAAUUGUUUCAGGAAGGUCUUGAGUAUUAUGCUUCAAAGCAAAAUUUCAGGUUAAGAAGAAAUUGUAAAUCUUAAAGAAUGUUGGUGUUACUCUCAGUGGAAUACUUUUUCAAGCUCAUAAGCUGUAUAUAAAAAAAUUGGAGGUUUGACAGUUCAUGCUAUCUGCUUUUUUGAAAAGAUAGUAGUGGUGAUGGGGGAUCUUUCUAGGCCAAUUUGAAUAAAUUUCAUACAGCCUGCAGUUUCCAAGAGCCAUAUACAAUUUGCUCACAAUUAAUUUUUUAAAAUUGAUUUUGGGAGUUGCUUUGUAAUAAUCUUCUUAAUCUUCCUUUGCAAGUCAGACUUUAAAGAAGACUUUAUAAAACUUUCUUUUUUGAAUGAAGUAAUCUACUUUUUUCUUUAUCAAGAAUAUUUCUGAGGUUGAUACAUGACUUUUUAACAUUAUUUAUUGUAAAAUAAAUUUAGCAUAAUUUAUUUGAUUAGGGAGAAUGUGUACCCAUCUUCCAGUUUCAGCACAUGAAUUUUUAAGGAUUGUUUUUAAGCUUAGUAAUUGUGGUAUUGAAUGACUUAGAAUAAUGGAGAAAAACCUGAUGGGAAAUUGAUAGAAAAACUAAUGAAAUAUUUUUCAUACAUAAUUUCAGUUGGAGGUAAUGAAAAAUGUAGUUUCUCAGUUAUUUGUGGGUAAAUAUGUUUUGCUCUUGAUACAGUAAUUAUGGAGUGUUUUCAAAGCCAUGAUAUAAUUUUUAAAAAUGGAUUUUUAAGGAAGGCUCAUCUUGAUCCCAUUCAUUUAUUUCAGCUUAAUUUAUAUAUCCUUUCCUAUUGAGGCUUAAAUUUUGUUAAGCAAUGUGAGGAUUAUUGUGGUAAGUUGUAUUUAGUAAUCAAUACAAUGUGAUACUAGCACUAGGAUUGCCAAAUAAAUCAAUGGAAUAGAAGAGAGAGCCUGAAAACAGAUCAACAUUUAUAUGAUCACUUGAUUUCAACAAAGGUGGCAAAACAAUUCAACAGAGAAGGAAAGUCUUUUCAACAAAUGGAGCCAGAAUAGCUGAAUAUCCAUAUAGAAAAAAAUGAACAUGACCCCCUACCUCACAAAAAUGACUUUGAGAUGGAUCAUAGACCUAAAUGUAAUAUUUUAAGAGUAUGAAGCUUUUUAACUGAAAACAUGGUUGAUUAUUUUAGUGACUUGGGGGGUUAGUCAAAGGUUUCUUAGGUCACAGAAAGCAGUAGCCAUAAAAGAUCCAAAAUUAGAGCUCAUCAAAAUUGUCACUGCAAAUGUUAACAAAAGUAAUAUCAAAUGACAUUUGAAAAAUAUCUUUGUAAAACGACCAUGUUAAUAGAUAUAAGGAUUUUUUCAUAUUAAUCUAACAAAAUUCCUUAAUAGGAAUUUCCAUAGCUUAAGAAUGGUUUAUUUUAUCUGCAUCUUCUUGGAUGAUUGCAAAUCCCUUGUGAUACUUCAUGAUUACUUCUGUCUGUGAAUAAAGAAGUAUGACUUGUC